This 497-nucleotide ribosomal RNA is filed under the name uncultured bacterium. RNAcentral's name for it is "partial 16S ribosomal RNA". It matches the Rfam family "Bacterial small subunit ribosomal RNA", at positions 38 to 507 of the family's 1533-position model. The record is from RNAcentral.
GGGGGGGGGGGGGGGGGGGGGGGGGGGGGGCGGGGCGGGCGAGGAGGCGGGGGGCUUGCUCCGGUGACGUGAGCGGCGGACGGGUGGGUGACACGUGGAUAACCUACCGGUAAGACGGGGAGCGCUGCGGGAAACCGGAGCUAAUACGGGAUAAUAUAUUGGCCCGCAUGGUUCCCUAGUGACCGACGGUUUUGCUGUCCCUUCUCGAUGUGUCCGCGCCGCAUUAGCUAUUUGGUAAGGUAACGGCUUACCAAGGCAACGAUGCGUAGCCGACCUGCGAGGGUGAUCGGCCACACUGGAACUGAGACACGGUCCAGACUCCUACGGGAGGCAGAAGUAGGGAAUCUUCCGCAAUGGGCGAAAGCCUGACGGAGCAACGCCGCGUGAGUGAUGAAGGUCUUCGGAUCGUAAAACUCUGUUAUUAGGGAAGAACAAAUGUGUAAGUAACUAUGCACGUCUUGACGGUACCUAAUCAGAAAGCCACGGCUAACUACGUG